RNAcentral lists this ribosomal RNA (292 nucleotides) under uncultured bacterium. Its description in RNAcentral is "partial 16S ribosomal RNA". It matches the Rfam family "Bacterial small subunit ribosomal RNA", at positions 505 to 796 of the family's 1533-position model. The record is from RNAcentral.
GUGUCAGCCGCCGCGGUAAUACGAAGGGGGCUAGCGUUGCUCGGAAUCACUGGGCGUAAAGCGCACGUAGGCGGACUCUUAAGUCGGUGGUGAAAUCCUGGAGCUCAACUCCAGAACUGCCUUCGAUACUGAGAGUCUCGAGUCCGGGAGAGGUGAGUGGAACUGCGAGUGUAGAGGUGAAAUUCGUAGAUAUUCGCAAGAACACCAGUGGCGAAGGCGGCUCACUGGCCCGGUACUGACGCUGAGGUGCGAAAGCGUGGGGAGCAAACAGGAUUAGAAACCCCCGUAGUCC